This 397-nucleotide ribosomal RNA is filed under the name uncultured bacterium. Its description in RNAcentral is "bacterial SSU rRNA". It matches the Rfam family "Bacterial small subunit ribosomal RNA", at positions 29 to 416 of the family's 1533-position model. The record is from RNAcentral.
AACGAACGCUGGCGGCGCGCCUAACACAUGCAAGUCGAACGAGAAUCCGGGGCAACCCGGUAGUAAAGUGGCAAACGGGUGAGGAAUACAUGGGUAACCUACCCUUGAGAAGGGAAUAACCCGCCGAAAGGUGAGCUAAUACCCUAUACGCUAUCUUUUUUUCGAAAAAGAUAGGAAAGCCGGGUCGAGGACCUGGUACCCAAGGAGGGGCUCAUGUCCUAUCAGCUUGUUGGUGGGGUAACGGCCUACCAAGGCUACGACGGGUAGCUGGUCUGAGAGGAUGAUCAGCCACACUGGCACUGAGAUACGGGCCAGACUCCUACGGGAGGCAGCAGUGAGGAAUAUUGGACAAUGGGCGAAAGCCUGAUCCAGCCACGCCGCGUGGGUGAUGAAGGCC